GAUUUAAAACUUGGCGGAUUACGAAACAAAUUGAACAAAAGCAAAAAAAAAAAGUUUGUCUCAAAAUUGUGUCGCUUAAAUCAUUGUGAGUAGGACACAAGCCUGAAUGUCUAGACUUGCGAAAUUUAGAACUAACAUAGCAGGCCUCUUCAGUUUAUGAAGUAAAUUAUUGGUGUCCACCACUAAGACUAAGACUACUUUAUUAAUCCUUCUUGGAAAUUCGUUGUGAUUGCUAGGACUAUUUUCUCAAUUAAAAAAAAAACAACAUCCAUAUAAAUAGCACAGACACGACAUACAGAGUAAUUCAUUGAGUGACUAUAGACAAAAUAGGUCUUCGAGUCUUUCACGUCGUCCCCUAGUCAACGAGUAGCACCGAGACCGUCUGACAGAGUAAAGAAGAAAUGGAGUCUUGUUUUGAGUACCGUACUGGUGGACAGAUGGCGCUGAUGUCUCCAUGACUGAAGAAGAAUCAGAUUUGUACAGUCUCUUCUUUUCAUGUGUUGAGACGUGUGGAAUGAAAUAUGUCUAAUUUGGUUCAUGUCAUAUUAAUCUACUUAAUAAACUAGACUGUUGAAUCACAGAUCAAAACGCUUCUCAACUUUAUACUGUCACAAAUCAUGUUGUGUUAUAAUCA
This is a non-coding RNA of Biomphalaria pfeifferi, 634 nucleotides long. NCBI's taxonomy places the organism in Eukaryota, Metazoa, Mollusca, Gastropoda, Planorbidae. The record is from the annotation of a GenBank genome assembly.